AUGUCCAUCUCGCGGUUUUCCUCCUCUCUCCACACCGCCACCUUUGCAUUGUGCUACUUACCAGACAAUCUGUUACUAAACCUUCAACUCCCAUUUCUCAAAAAACUUUCACUUGUGCAGGUUCGUAUGUCGGAGGCCUCAUUGCACAACAUCAUCCACUCCAGUUGCCCUGCCCUGGAGUGCUUGGUGCUUGUUUUCACAGUUAGAAUCGGCUGUCUCCAAAUAAAGUCGCCUAACCUUGUAAGAAUUGGAAUUUCUUUUGACGGAAGGCAGCUCAUCAUCCAAGAUGCCCCUUCACUUCAAAGGUUGAUCCUUGAUUCUAGUUAUUCACCGUCGCAAAUAACUGUCCUGUUUGCGCCUAAACUGGAGAACUUGGGUGUAAUACAUGAUUUUGUGCUCAUUUCAAGAUGGUGUUUGGCUCCAUAG
This 426-nucleotide ribosomal RNA is filed under the name Triticum aestivum (bread wheat). Its description in RNAcentral is "partial small subunit ribosomal RNA". Lineage: Eukaryota; Viridiplantae; Streptophyta; Magnoliopsida; Poales; Poaceae. The record is from RNAcentral.